ACGAACGCUGGCGGCGUGCCUAAUACCUGCCAGUUGAGCGCUGAAGGUUGGUACUUGUACCGACUGGAUGAGCAGCGAACGGGUGAGUAACGCGUGGGGAAUCUGCCUUUGAGCGGGGGACAACAUUUGGAAACGAAUGCUAAUACCGCAUAAAAACUUUAAACACAAGUUUUAAGUUUGAAAGAUGCAAUUGCAUCACUCAAAGAUGAUCCCGCGUUGUAUUAGCUAGUUGGUGAGGUAAAGGCUCACCAAGGCGAUGAUACAUAGCCGACCUGAGAGGGUGAUCGGCCACAUUGGGACUGAGACACGGCCCAAACUCCUACGGGAGGCAGCAGUAGGGAAUCUUCGGCAAUGGACGAAAGUCUGACCGAGCAACGCCGCGUGAGUGAAGAAGGUUUUCGGAUCGUAAAAAUCUGUUGGUAGAGAAGGACGUUGGUGAGAGUGGAAAGCUCAUCAAGUGACGGUAACUACCCAGAAAGGGACGGCUAACUACGUG
This 496-nucleotide ribosomal RNA is filed under the name uncultured bacterium. RNAcentral's name for it is "partial 16S ribosomal RNA". It matches the Rfam family "Bacterial small subunit ribosomal RNA", at positions 29 to 507 of the family's 1533-position model. The record is from RNAcentral.